Molecule: ribosomal RNA, 460 nt
Filed under: uncultured bacterium
Lineage: Bacteria
Description: partial 16S ribosomal RNA
Rfam family: Bacterial small subunit ribosomal RNA
Source: RNAcentral
CCUACGGGAGGCAGCAGUGAGGAAUAUUGGUCAAUGGCCGGAAGGCUGAACCAGCCAUGCCGCGUGAAGGUCAGUGCCCUAUGGGCGUUAAACUUCUUUUGUGCGGGAGCAAUAAUGGUCACGUGUGGCCAGACGAGAGUACCGUACGAAUAAGCAUCGGCUAACUCCGUGCCAGCAGCCGCGGUAAUACGGGGGAUGCAAGCGUUAUCCGGAUUUAUUGGGUUUAAAGGGUGCGUAGGCUGGGAGGUAAGUCAGCGGUGAAAUGCCCCCGCUCAACGGGGUGAAGUGCCAUUGAUACUGCCUGGCUGGAAUGCGGAUGCCGUGGGAGGAAUGUGUGGUGUAGCGGUGAAAUGCAUAGAUAUCACACAGAACACCGAUUGCGAAGGCAUCUCACGAAUCCGCGAUUGACGCUGAUGCAUGAAAGCGUGGGUAUCAAACAGGAUUAGAUACCCCGGUAGUC